GUCUACAGCCAUACCACCCUGAACACACCCGAUCUCAUCUGAUCUCGGAAGCUAAGCAGGGUCGGGCCUGGUUAGUACUUGGACGGGAGAAAAGUGUAUUUAAAUAUUUUUAAAACUCCACUGGGUAACAGAUGACU
This 137-nucleotide ribosomal RNA is filed under the name Erinaceus europaeus (western European hedgehog). The record is from RNAcentral. Lineage: Eukaryota; Metazoa; Chordata; Mammalia; Eulipotyphla; Erinaceidae.